CGCGCGUGAUGACGCCUUAGGACUGCUGUGAAAUCCCCGAUGCUCCGUGGGGAAGCCAACCUUGGAGAACUGAGCGUGCC
Small nucleolar RNA from Eptesicus fuscus (big brown bat), 80 nucleotides. The record is from RefSeq and is a predicted model, not a curated record. NCBI's taxonomy places the organism in Eukaryota, Metazoa, Chordata, Mammalia, Chiroptera, Vespertilionidae.